This 253-nucleotide ribosomal RNA is filed under the name uncultured bacterium. RNAcentral describes it as "partial 16S ribosomal RNA". It matches the Rfam family "Bacterial small subunit ribosomal RNA", at positions 524 to 776 of the family's 1533-position model. The record is from RNAcentral. RNAcentral also lists the same sequence under 1 other name.
UACGUAGGAUGCAAGCGUUGUCCGGAAUUAUUGGGCGUAAAGAGUUCGUAGGUGGUUAUCUAAGUCUGGUGUUAAAGCCCGGAGCUCAACUCCGGCAUGGCAUUGGAAACUGGAUGGCUAGAGUGUGGAAGAGGUAACUGGAAUUCCUGGUGUAGCGGUGAAAUGCGCAGAUAUCAGGAGGAACACCCGUGGCGAAAGCGAGUUACUGGUCCAUUACUGACACUGAGGAACGAAAGCCAGGGUAGCAAAAGGG